Long non-coding RNA from Drosophila willistoni, 512 nucleotides. RefSeq lists it as uncharacterized. The transcript is spliced from 2 exons. The record is from RefSeq and is a predicted model, not a curated record. NCBI's taxonomy places the organism in Eukaryota, Metazoa, Arthropoda, Insecta, Diptera, Drosophilidae.
UUUAAUUACAAAAAACCAGAUUUUAAAAUUUAUUUAUUCCAUGUCGAAGCAAACAACAAGCCAAAUGCCCAUAAAUUAAGUUACUUUCAAUUGCAAUGAAAUUGUUUGCCAAAAUGUGUAGAUUUUCUCUCUCUAUCUUUUCGUGUGGACUUAACUGGAACUUCAGACAGCUCAAGGAUCUAGCAAAUUCCACUACAAACUACAACUGCAAACGGCAGCCACAAGAGAUGCUUGAAUACAAUUAACAGCCAAAUGAAUUGUAAGAGAUCUGGCAGCAAGUGAGCCGGAACAAAAAGGGGCAACAAAAAUGAAACUUUAUACCAAAAAAAAAACAAAAAUUGUAUCCAAUGUGUGUUUGAGGGGUUGUGUUAUCCUCGUUUGGUCAAUUUGGAGCUACUUGGCAAAUUCAACAGCAAAACAUGACUUUGAAAACUUCAUUUAGAAAUGGAAUCAGAAUUUCGCCAUUCUUCUUUAUAGGUAAAUGGAAUGCCAAAUAAAGAUGCUUUAUUAAA